UGGCAAAGAGUCAUUUCUUUGAUGAAGGA
This 29-nucleotide non-coding RNA is filed under the name Rattus norvegicus (Norway rat). Lineage: Eukaryota; Metazoa; Chordata; Mammalia; Rodentia; Muridae. The record is from RNAcentral.